UUGACCUCGAAUCAGGUAGGAAUACCCGCUGAACUUAACAAUCAAACCCGGGG
This 53-nucleotide ribosomal RNA is filed under the name Erysiphe paeoniae. Its description in RNAcentral is "partial 28S ribosomal RNA". The record is from RNAcentral. Lineage: Eukaryota; Fungi; Ascomycota; Leotiomycetes; Helotiales; Erysiphaceae.